RNAcentral lists this ribosomal RNA (1379 nucleotides) under uncultured bacterium. RNAcentral describes it as "partial 16S ribosomal RNA". It matches the Rfam family "Bacterial small subunit ribosomal RNA", at positions 27 to 1401 of the family's 1533-position model. The record is from RNAcentral.
GGAUGAACGCUAGCGAUAGGGUUUAACACAUGCAAGUCGAGGGGCAGCAUAAAGGCAGCAAUGUCUUAGUGGCGACCGGCGCACGGGUGAGUAACACGUAUGCAACCUGCCCACAACUGCGGGAUAACCCGUCGAAAGACGGACUAAUACCGCAUGGUAUGGAUUGAUCGCCUGAUUGAUUCAUCAAAGAAUUUCGGUUGUGGAUGGGCAUGCGUUCCAUUAGCCAGAUGGUGAGGUAACGGCUCACCAUAGCAAUGAUGUCUAGGGGUUUUGAGAGGAAGGCCCCCCACACUGGGACUGAGACACGGCCCAGACUCCUACGGGAGGCAGCAGUGAGGAAUAUUGGUCAAUGGAGGCAACUCUGAACCAGCCACGUCGCGUGAAGGAUGACGGCCCUACGGGUUGUAAACUUCUUUUGUAAGGGAAUAAAGUUAGUUACGUGUAACUAUUUGCAUGUACCUUACGAAUAAGGAUCGGCUAACUCCGUGCCAGCAGCCGCGGUAAUACGGAGGAUCCAAGCGUUAUCCGGAUUUAUUGGGUUUAAAGGGUGCGUAGGCGGAAGAUUAAGUCGGUGGUGAAAUUUUGCAGCUUAACUGUAACAGUGCCGUUGAUACUGUUUGGCUAGGAUUUGGUUGUAGUGUGCGGAAUGUGUGGUGUAGCGGUGAAAUGCUUAGAUAUCACACAGAACACCGAUUGCGAAGGCAGCACACUAAGUCAUUAUUGACGCUGAGGCACGAAAGUGUGGGGAUCAAACAGGAUUAGAUACCCUGGUAGUCCACACUGUAAACGAUGAAUACUAGGUGUAGGGGUUGUCAUGACCUCUGUGCCGCCGCUAACGCAUUAAGUAUUCCGCCUGGGGAGUACGGUCGCAAGAUUAAAACUCAAAGGAAUUGACGGGGGCCCGCACAAGCAGCGGAGCAUGUGGUUUAAUUCGAAGCAACGCGAAGAACCUUACCUAGACUUGACAUCUCCUGCAUUACUCUUAAUCGAGGAAGUCUCUUCGGAGACAGGAUGACAGGUGGUGCAUGGUUGUCGUCAGCUCGUGUCGUGAGAUGUUGGGUUAAGUCCCGCAACGAGCGCAACCCUUAUUGUUAGUUGCCAUCAUUAAGUUGGGCACUCUAGCGAGACUGCCCGGGUUAACCGGGAGGAAGGUGGGGAUGACGUCAAAUCAUCAUGCCCCUUAUGUCUAGGGCUACACACGUGCUACAAUGGUCGGUACAAUAAGACGCAAGCCCGCGAGGGGGAGCAAAACUGGAAAACCGAUCUCAGUUCGGAUUGUAGGCUGAAACUCGCCUACAUGAAGCUGGAGUUGCUAGUAAUCGCGAAUCAGCAUGUCGCGGUGAAUACGUUCCCGGGCCUUGUACACACCGCCCGUCAAG